This is a non-coding RNA of Hordeum vulgare subsp. vulgare (domesticated barley), 124 nucleotides long. The record is from Rfam. NCBI's taxonomy places the organism in Eukaryota, Viridiplantae, Streptophyta, Magnoliopsida, Poales, Poaceae.
GACAUACUCCUCCGUUCAGAAAUACUUGUCAUAGGAAUGGAUGUAUCUAGAUGUAUUCUAGUUUUAGAUACAUCCAUUUUUAUCUAUUUAUGCGAUAAGUAAUUUCGGACAGAAGGGGUAUUUA